CGUACCCUGAAGAGCUGCAAGUGCCUGACUUUGAGACUGGGAGGAGAGGUGGCUGCUCGUUGUGUUUAUUUUUGCUUUACUGCAGUAUUGACAGCUUUGUCAUCUAAAAAUCUUUACCUUUUAAGUAACUGGGAGUAAGGGGGAGAAAAAUAAAUGGCUGUUAUAUCAGU
Molecule: long non-coding RNA, 170 nt
Organism: Hirundo rustica (Barn swallow)
Lineage: Eukaryota; Metazoa; Chordata; Aves; Passeriformes; Hirundinidae
Exons: 2
Source: RefSeq, a predicted model, not a curated record